CCAGCUGUGUGUCCAACCCCACAGGGAUUUUCUGGAUCAAUAACCCAGUUGUGUGUCCAACUGGGAUUUUCUGGAUCAAUAACCCAGCUGUGUGUCCAAAUCCACACGGAUGUCCUAGAAAAAUAGCCAAGCUCUGUAUUCAACCCUACAGGGAUUUUCUGGAUCAAUAACCCAGCUGUGUGUCCAUCUCCACUGGGACUUUCUGGAUCAAUAACCCAGUUGUGUGUCCAACAGGGAUUUUCUGGAUCAAUAACCCAGCUGUGCGUCCAACCCCACAGGGAUUUUCUGGAUCAAUAACCCAGCUGUGUGUCCAACAGGGAUUUUCUGGAUCAAUAACCCAGUUGUGUGUCCAACCCCACA
Taeniopygia guttata (zebra finch) is the source of this 360-nucleotide long non-coding RNA. NCBI's taxonomy places the organism in Eukaryota, Metazoa, Chordata, Aves, Passeriformes, Estrildidae. The record is from Ensembl.